Molecule: ribosomal RNA, 1492 nt
Filed under: uncultured bacterium
Lineage: Bacteria
Description: partial 16S ribosomal RNA
Rfam family: Bacterial small subunit ribosomal RNA
Source: RNAcentral
AGAGUUUGAUCCUGGCUCAGGAUGAACGCUAGCGGGAGGCUUAACACAUGCAAGUCGAGGGGCAACAGGAGUAGCAAUACUUGCUGGCGACCGGCGCACGGGUGAGUAACGCGUAUGCAACCUACCCAUAACAGGGGGAUAGCUUCCGGAAACGGAAAUUAAUACCCCAUAGGAUUCAAAGGCCGCAUGGUCAAUGGAUUAAAACUACGGUGGUUAUGGAUGGGCAUGCGUGCCAUUAGCUAGUUGGCGGGGUAACGGCCCACCAAGGCGACGAUGGCUAGGGGGUCUAAAAGGAUGAUCCCCCACACUGGUACUGAGACACGGACCAGACUCCUACGGGAGGCAGCAGUGAGGAAUAUUGGUCAAUGGGCGAGAGCCUGAACCAGCCAUCCCGCGUGCAGGAAGACGGCCCUAUGGGUUGUAAACUGCUUUUUUAUGGGAAGAAAAAGCUCUACGUGUAGGGCACUGACGGUACCAUAUGAAUAAGCAUCGGCUAACUCCGUGCCAGCAGCCGCGGUAAUACGGAGGAUGCGAGCGUUAUCCGGAUUUAUUAGGUUUAAAGGGUGUGUAGGCGGAUUAUUAAGUCAGUGGUGAAAUCUCAGAGCUUAACUCUGAAACUGCCAUUGAUACUGGUAAUCUUGAGUACAGUUGAAGUAGGCGGAAUGUGUAAUGUAGCGGUGAAAUGCUUAGAUAUUACACAGAACACCGAUUGCGAAGGCAGCUUACUAAGCUGUUACUGACGCUGAUGCACGAAAGCGUGGGGAGCGAACAGGAUUAGAUACCCUGGUAGUCCACGCCGUAAACGAUGAAUGUUAGUCGUCGGGGAGCUAGUCUCUUCGGUGAUGCAGCUAACGCAUUAAACAUUCCGCCUGGGGAGUACGGUCGCAAGAUUAAAACUCAAAGGAAUAGACGGGGACCCGCACAAGUGGUGGAGCAUGUGGUUUAAUUCGAAGAUACGCGAAGAACCUUACCUAGCCUUGACAUUGAUAGAAUCCCUCAGAGAUGAGAGAGUGCCCUUCGGGGAGCUUGAAAACAGGUGUUGCACGGCUGUCGUCAGCUCGUGUCGUGAGAUGUUGGGUUAAGUCCCGCAACGAGCGCAACCCUCGUCCUUAGUUACUAACGGUUCGGCCGAGGACUCUAAGGAGACUGCCUUCGUAAGGAGGAGGAAGGUGAGGACGACGUCAAGUCAUCAUGACCCUUACGGCUAGGGCGACACACGUGCUACAAUGGAUAGGACAAUGAGACGCAAUACCGCGAGGUGGAGCAAAUCUAUAAACCUAUUCUCAGUUCGGAUUGUAGUCUGCAACUCGACUACAUGAAGCUGGAAUCACUAGUAAUCGUAGAUCAGCCAUGCUACGGUGAAUACGUUCCCGGGUCUUGUACUCACCGCCCGUCACACCAUGGGAGUUGAUCUCACCCGAAGCGGGGAAGCUAAACUGGCUACCCUCCACGGUGGAAUCAGCGACUGGGGUGAAGUCGUAACAAGGUAACC